Zingiber officinale is the source of this 1861-nucleotide long non-coding RNA. RefSeq lists it as uncharacterized. Lineage: Eukaryota; Viridiplantae; Streptophyta; Magnoliopsida; Zingiberales; Zingiberaceae. The transcript is spliced from 3 exons. The record is from RefSeq and is a predicted model, not a curated record.
AACAUUGUGGACCUUUUGAAAGUUGACGUGUUAGGGGAAAAGCGGCAUCGCCGACGAAAUUCCGCCAGCUUCGGCAGAACAAUUUGGUCCGCCGCCUCGUCAGCCCCCGGGAUUGCCUCGACCAGAGAAUCGGCCCUCGUCCAUGGAAAAGGAGGACGCGAUCCCCUUCUUGACGGACUUCCUGUAUCCGGCGCCGAUAUUGGCCAUGUACCGAUCGACGGAGCUCAGAUUCAGAUCCUUGCCGCAAGAACACAAAGGCGACGACUUUAUCAAUGAAAAGGCAGUAUUUCCAUCUAGAAGUCAAGAAAUUGGGCGAUCCAUGGGUGGAUUUCUGACGAAUCGAGGGAUUCGAACGCGAUCGCUGCUAGGGUUUGGUCUGUUGAAGUCGCCGUGGAAAGCCAUUGAUCGAUUGAUGCGGGAGAUGACUGUUCGUCCAUAUGCGGCAGCUUUCAGAUAUUCCAGUUUCAUUCGCUUGAGGUUUGAUGAAGUAGGGAGAUCAACGCGAGCACGCACACUAUGGCUCACCAGUGGCGAUGGUUUGGCCUGAUUUGAUGCAGGAAAGUGUGGAGAUCUUCGUCUGACUGGUGCUUGAAGACCCGGGUACGACGUGGUAGUUAAAGUCAAGGUGACAUGACAGUCAAAGUCAAGAGACUUCUAGAUCUCAGUUUCUCGCUUCAAAGGCAAGUCUUCGUCAUCUAGGCCAUCGGCUUAAAGUACCGAUCGAAUCUCUCGGGACUCAAUUCCCCAUUUCUCAGAGACAAGUAUCCUGGUAUAUGACCGGUCGGUCAUAGAACUGAUCGGACCUAGGAGACAACUUCAAAUUAUUUCCAGAACAGAUCUCCAACAUCACCUAGUGCAUAACCGAGCAGCUUAAGAGAAUGGUGGUUGUACAGUCAGUCUGUCUAAAGAUCUGAUCGAGAUAUACUCAGCAAACAACAUGGCCAAAAAAUCACAACAGUCUGUCAGAAUAACAACCGUUUGUUAGAGAAUAUUCCUCUAUUGUAAUAUGAGCAUUCACUGGAACCUUCUUCGAAGGUGACCUUACACUUUCCAUCAAUCGACAUAUUAUGACAGCAUAUUCUUUCAACCGCCUCAUUAAUGGCAUAAGUUAUAAAAGAGGUACACAUAUGAAUAACAGAAGAUUCCUCGGACGGUGACAAUACAUCACCUAGGUUGUACGUCUUUUCUUAUCCGACAACCUCUGACAUUCAACAUUUUCCGUCACCUCAUGAUUGUGGAGGUUAUAAGAGGUGGUAUAUAAAAGGGUUUUUCUCCGUUGGCCAGGUACACGCCUUACAACAACCUUACUUAUGCACACUCAUUUCACUAUUCAUCUCUCCAUUCUUUCUCGCUCGGACACCGUAUUGACUUGAGCGGAAUCUACGUCGGAAAUCCCCUCCUUGAUUUUGGCGCUAAUGUUUUGUGGUCUCUUUAGUGUGCACAGAGAAGAAGAAGAAGAAGAAGCCCUUUUUGCCUCCGGUUAAUAGUCUUUUCUCAAUCAACCGCACGGCCACCUACCUAGCGCGUCAUCUCUACAACUUUCAAACAGGAUCACCGAUGUUGUAGAUUGUCAAACUCUUUUACCCUAGAAUACAAGAUAUUUCUCUCUUUGCAUGCACAACUAGCAUCACUCAUACUCCGUCAUUUAAUCUUGAUGGUGCUUGCAUUGCACAAUUUAUGGCUUUUCCGAGCAUUCGAAUGAUUGUUCUGGGUUAAAGUUCUCAGUUUGCUGCGUUAUGUCUGCAGUAUAAUUAAUUUACCGUUUGUUUCAUGCAUCCCUAGCCAAGUUUUUUGUUCUUUGAGUGCAAAUGAUGUAGAUUAUCAAUCACUUUGGAUGAAUCAAUUUGUUUUCCCUCUAAAA